AUUUAGAAAGAAAUAAAUUUAGUAUAUUAUAUAUAUAUAUAUAUAUAUAUAUUAAAUAAAUAUCUAAAUUUAAGUGUAUCAUUUACAAUGAUAAGAUGUUUUUUAACUUUAUUUAAA
RNAcentral lists this transfer RNA (117 nucleotides) under Ceratovacuna nekoashi. RNAcentral describes it as "tRNA-Val". Lineage: Eukaryota; Metazoa; Arthropoda; Insecta; Hemiptera; Hormaphididae. The record is from RNAcentral.